UGUUCCCAUACAAUCACUGAAGUUAAGCAAUGUUAAGCCUGGUCAAUACCUAGAUGGGUAACUACUUGGGAAGACCAGGUGCUGUAA
Molecule: non-coding RNA, 87 nt
Organism: Acanthosepion pharaonis
Lineage: Eukaryota; Metazoa; Mollusca; Cephalopoda; Sepiida; Sepiidae
Source: the annotation of a GenBank genome assembly